GUGACAUGAAGAGUUUGAUCCUUGCUCAGGAUUAACGCUGGCGGUAUGCAUAACACAUGCAAGUUGAACGGACUCGUUUUAUAAAAUGAGUUAGUAGCAGACGGGUGAGUAAUAUGUGAGAAUCUACGUUUAGGUGGGGGAUAACUUAUAGAAAUAUUUGCUAAUACCCCAUAAUUGUGCUAUAAAGUAAAAAUUUUUUGCCUAAACAUGAGCUUGCAUCUGAUUAGUUUGUUGGUUGGGUAAUGGCUUACCAAGACUUUGAUCAGUAGCUGAUUUGAGAGAAUGGUCAGCCACACUGGAAUUGAGAACGGAACAGACUCCUAUGGGAGGCAGCAGUGGGGAAUUUUCCGCAAUGAGUGAAAACUUGACGGAGCAAUACCGCGUGUAGGAAGAAGGCUGUAUUAGUUGUAAACUUCUUUUUUCAAAAAAGAAUAGGUGACGUUAUUUGAAGAAUAAGCAUCGGCUAAUUCCGUGCCAGCAGCCGCGGUAAUACGGGGGAUGCAAGUGUUAUCCGGAAUUAUUGGGCGUAAAGGGUCAGGAGGUGGUAUUAUGUGUUUAAUGUUAAAUGUUAAAGCUUAACUUUAUAAAGGCAUUGAAAACUGUAAUACUAGAGUAUGGUAGAGGUAAAGGGAAUUUCCAGUGUAGCGGUGAAAUGCGUAAAUAUUGGAAAGAACACCAAAGGCGAAGGCACUUUGCUAGGCCAAUACUGACAUUGAGAGACUAAAGCUAAGGUAGCAAACAGGAUUAGAUACCCUGGUAGUCUUAGCCGUAAACUAUGGAUACUAAGUUAUGAAGAUUCUGUAUUUAUAUGUGUUAGAUAUAUAUAUAGAUAUGAGGAUGCAUUUCUAAAGUUAACACGUUAAGUAUCCCGCCUGGGGAGUAUUCUUGCAAAAGUGAAACUCAAAGGAAUUGACGGGGGCCCGCACAAGCGGUGGAGCAUGUGGUUUAAUUCGAUGCAACACGAAAAACCUUACCAAGACUUGACAUGCUAGAGUAAAUGAUUAUUAUUAAUCAUGUAAUUAAAAAAUCUAGGCCACAGGUGGUGCAUGGCUGUCGUUCAGCUCGUAUCGUGAGAUGUAUGGUUUAGUCCUAUAACGAGCGCAACCCUUAUCUUUAGUUAAAUUUGUAUAUUAAAGAAACUGCUGUUGACAAAUCAGAGGAAGGAGAGGAUGACGUCAAGUCAUCAUGCCCUUUAUGUCUUGGGCUACACACGUGCUACAAUGGUUAAGACAAUUAGUUGCAAACUUGUAAAAGUGAGCUAAUCUAUAAACUUAAUCUAAGUUCGGAUUGUAGGCUGAAACUCGUCUACAUGAAGUUGGAAUCGCUAGUAAUCGCCGGUCAGCUAUACGGCGGUGAAUAUGUUCUCGGGCCUUGUACACACCGCCCGUCACACCAAGGAAGUUAGUUGUGUUUGAUAUUGUUUUUUUAACCUUUUGGGAAAUGAUAAUUAGGGCCUGGCUGGUGACCGUGGUGAAGUCGUAACAAGGUAGCCGUACUGGAAGGUGCGGCUGGA
RNAcentral lists this ribosomal RNA (1513 nucleotides) under Euglena longa. Its description in RNAcentral is "16S ribosomal RNA". It matches the Rfam family "Bacterial small subunit ribosomal RNA". Lineage: Eukaryota; Euglenozoa; Euglenophyceae; Euglenales; Euglenaceae. The record is from RNAcentral.